RNAcentral lists this ribosomal RNA (253 nucleotides) under uncultured bacterium. RNAcentral's name for it is "partial 16S ribosomal RNA". It matches the Rfam family "Bacterial small subunit ribosomal RNA", at positions 524 to 776 of the family's 1533-position model. The record is from RNAcentral.
UACGAAGGGGGCUAGCGUUGCUCGGAAUCACUGGGCGUAAAGCGCACGUAGGCGGAUUGUUAAGUCAGGGGUGAAAUCCUGGAGCUCAACUCCAGAACUGCCUUUGAUACUGGCGAUCUUGAGUCCGGGAGAGGUGAGUGGAACUCCGAGUGUAGAGGUGAAAUUCGUAGAUAUUAGGAAGAACACCAGUGGCGAAGGCGGCUCACUGGUCCGGUACUGACGCUGAGGUGCGAAAGCGUGGGGAGCAAACAGG